Molecule: ribosomal RNA, 906 nt
Filed under: Ralstonia solanacearum
Lineage: Bacteria; Pseudomonadati; Pseudomonadota; Betaproteobacteria; Burkholderiales; Burkholderiaceae
Description: bacterial SSU rRNA
Rfam family: Bacterial small subunit ribosomal RNA
Source: RNAcentral
AACGGCAGCGGGGGUAGCUUGCUACCUGCCGGCGAGUGGCGAACGGGUGAGUAAUACAUCGGAACGUGCCCUGUAGUGGGGGAUAACUAGUCGAAAGACUAGCUAAUACCGCAUACGACCUGAGGGUGAAAGUGGGGGACCGCAAGGCCUCAUGCUAUAGGAGCGGCCGAUGUCUGAUUAGCUAGUUGGUGGGGUAAAGGCCCACCAAGGCGACGAUCAGUAGCUGGUCUGAGAGGACGAUCAGCCACACUGGGACUGAGACACGGCCCAGACUCCUACGGGAGGCAGCAGUGGGGAAUUUUGGACAAUGGGGGCAACCCUGAUCCAGCAAUGCCGCGUGUGUGAAGAAGGCCUUCGGGUUGUAAAGCACUUUUGUCCGGAAAGAAAUCGCUUCGGUUAAUACCUGGAGUGGAUGACGGUACCGGAAGAAUAAGGACCGGCUAACUACGUGCCAGCAGCCGCGGUAAUACGUAGGGUCCAAGCGUUAAUCGGAAUUACUGGGCGUAAAGCGUGCGCAGGCGGUUGUGCAAGACCGAUGUGAAAUCCCCGGGCUUAACCUGGGAAUUGCAUUGGUGACUGCACAGCUAGAGUGUGUCAGAGGGAGGUAGAAUUCCACGUGUAGCAGUGAAAUGCGUAGAGAUGUGGAGGAAUACCGAUGGCGAAGGCAGCCUCCUGGGAUAACACUGACGCUCAUGCACGAAAGCGUGGGGAGCAAACAGGAUUAGAUACCCUGGUAGUCCACGCCCUAAACGAUGUCAACUAGUUGUUGGGGAUUCAUUUCCUUAGUAACGUAGCUAACGCGUGAAGUUGACCGCCUGGGGGAGUACGGUCGCAAGAUUAAAACUCAAAGGAAUUGACGGGGACCCGCACAAGCGGUGGAUGAAGGUGGAUUAAUUCGAUGCAACG